Molecule: ribosomal RNA, 1985 nt
Filed under: human gut metagenome
Description: bacterial LSU rRNA
Rfam family: Bacterial large subunit ribosomal RNA
Source: RNAcentral
UUAAAUUAUUAAGAGCGCAUGGCGAAUGCCUUGGCACUAGAAGCUGAUGAAGGACGUGACGAACAACGAUAUGCUUCGGGGAGCUGUAAGUAGCUUUGAUCCGGAGAUUUCCGAAUGGGGAAACCCACUGAUAGUAAUGUGUCAGUAUCAUGCAGUGAAUUCAUAGCUGUAUGAGAUGAACCCGGUGAACUGAAACAUCUUAGUAGCCGGAGGAGUAGAAAGAAAAAUCGAUUCCCUUAGUAGUGGCGAGCGAAAGGGGAACAGCCCAAACCAAUCUUCGGAUUGGGGUUGUAGGACUUCUCAUUAAGAGUAAAAAAUUCAUAAUAUAGUUGAAGUAUCUGGAAAGAUAUACCGUAGUAGGUGAUAGUCCUGUAAAUGAAAUAUUAUGAACUCUGAGGAGUAUCCUGAGUAGGGCGGGGCACGUGAAACCCUGUCUGAAUCUGCGGGGCCCAUCCCGUAAGGCUAAAUACUCUCUAGUGACCGAUAGUGAACAAGUACCGUGAGGGAAAGGUGAAAAGAACCCCGGGAGGGGAGUGAAAUAGAAUACUGAAACCGUAUGCUUACAAAAAGUCAAAGCCCGUUAAUGGGUGAUGGCGUGCCUUUUGCAGAAUGAACCGGCGAGUUACUGUAUCGUGCAAGGUUAAGUUGAAUAGACGAAGCCGAAGCGAAAGCGAGUCUGAAUAGGGCGACUUAGUACGAUGUAGUAGACCCGAAACCAAGUGAUCUAGCCAUGAGCAGGUUGAAGUGACAGUAACAUGUCAUGGAGGACCGAACCGAUGUACCCGGAAACGUGCCCGGAUGACUUGUGGUUAGCGGAGAAAUUCCAAUCGAACUUGGAGAUAGCUGGUUCUCCCCGAAAUAGGUUUAGGCCUAGCCUUGAGGUUUAGCACGCUGGAGGUAGAGCACUGAAUAAAUGAUGGCCCCGUAUAGGGGUACUGAAUUUAAUCAAACUCCGAAUGCCAGUGUUGUAUACUCAGGAGUCAGUGUAUGGGUGAUAACGUCCAUACGCGAGAGAAAAAGAAUUCAGACCGCCGAUUAAGGUCCCAAAAUUUCUACUAAGUGGGAAAGGAUGUGGAGUUGUCAAAACAGCUAGGAGGUUGGCUUAGAAGCAGCCACCCUUUAAAGAGUGCGUAAUAGCUCACUAGUCGAGUGACACUGCGCCGAAGAUGUACCGGGGCUAAGUAGAAUACCGAAAUCGCGGAUUUAAUACUAUGUAUUAAGUGGUAGGGGAGCGUUCCAUAUGCGCUGAAGGUAGAUCGUGAGGACUACUGGAGCGUAUGGAAGUGAGAAUGCCGGUGUGAGUAGCGCAAGGGAGGUGAGAAUCCUCCCCACCGUUUGACUAAGGUUUCCUGGACAAGGUUCGUCCUUCCAGGGUAAGUCGGGUACUAAGGCGAGGCCGAGAGGCGUAGUCGAUGUCCAACAGGUUGAUAUUCCUGUACCACCUACGUGACUGAUGGAGUGACGGAGAAAGCUAAGAAGAGCCAAUUAUUGGAUUUUGGUAUAAGCACAAAGGUUAGUAUAUAGGCAAAUCCGUAUACGAUACAACUGAAGUGUGAUAUUGACGGAAAUCUUCGGAUUUCUUAAAUCUUCUGACGCUAUGCUUCCAAGAAAAGCUUCUAGGGCUAAUUACGUAGGUGCCCGUACCGAGAACCGACACAGGUGGUCAAGGAGAGUAUCCUAAGGUGAGCGAGAGAACUAUGGUUAAGGAACUCGGCAAAAUAACCCCGUAACUUCGGGAGAAGGGGUGGUCUAGCGAUAGACCCGCAGUGAAGAGUCCCAGGCAACUGUUUACCAAAAACACAGGUCUCUGCUAAGCCGUAAGGCGAUGUAUAGGGGCUGACGCCUGCCCAGUGCUGGAAGGUUAAGAGGAUGGAUUAGCUGACGUAAGUCGAUUGCAAAGUCUUGAAUUGAAGCCCCAGUGAACGGCGGCCGUAACUAUAACGGUCCUAAGGUAGCGAAAUUCCUUGUCAGGUAAGUUCUGACCC